Molecule: long non-coding RNA, 995 nt
Organism: Vidua macroura (Pin-tailed whydah)
Lineage: Eukaryota; Metazoa; Chordata; Aves; Passeriformes; Viduidae
Exons: 3
Source: RefSeq, a predicted model, not a curated record
UCGUCUCAGCUGAGCUCAGCCCAGUCCGGCUCGGCUCGGCUGAGCCCAGCCCAGCUCAGCGCGGCCAGAGGCUCCGAGCCGCGAAAUCCGUGCUGGGUGACUCCAGGGAAGCGUAACUGGGAGUAGAGCCCUCUGAAGAGUGCAGCAAAGUCCUUGAUGAUAGCCAAGUUAAACAUUUUAGGAAACAGAAGCCACUUCUCUAUAGGAACUUAGCAGCAGAACUCACAGCUAAACCACAGACAGUCCGUGUUUGAAUGGGUGCUGAUGCCAGCCUCGGGUGAAUGACUUUUAAAAGCAGCAUCACGUAAAUGUGUCUGAAUAAAAUAGGAGCAGAUUGCAAGCAGUUCCUAAGACUUGAGUGAAUGACCUUUCUUGCUGUUGUAAUUUCCAAAUUUUUGGCAGACUCUCCCCUGACCACUAUAUUUCAUUUCCGUGCACCCCUGUACUUCCCAAUUCCGGUCAGGAGCAGAAGCAGAAGUAAUAAAAUACCACAAGAAAAGCUAUUCUUGUGAUAUUUCCGGUGCUACUGGAUGCAGCACCAACAGGAAAUCUCAUGAGAAAGACUGUCCCUUCACAGUUUCCAGGCCCCACUUUGGAAACCCAAGUGACUUGGUGGGAAUAAACAGCAAAUAAGCAUCCUCCAGCUUGGGUGAUUAAAACUUCUCCCAGCAUUUCUGGCCCAGUCCCUUCCACUCCAAGGUGCACAAGCCUUGUGACAGUGGUAGACACAGAGAAAACUGUGGAUGGCCCAUGAUAGUCUGAGCCUUCCUUUCUAUCCAGUUAUGUGAAACAAAGGGACCUGCAGGCCUGCAGCCUUCUCUCUUCUGAAAUGAGUCCUUGAGAGCUCACUGUGCCUCAGGAUUGCAGCCUUGACCUUGCACGUGUCCGAUGGUGAUGAUCUGCAGAAAGGAGGAUAUCCCCCUUCCACUUCAGGCUGCUCCAGGAGGAUUCCCAGUCUCCCAAGAGACUAAGAAGGUAAAGAGGGAAACAAGCAG